Molecule: ribosomal RNA, 497 nt
Filed under: uncultured bacterium
Lineage: Bacteria
Description: partial 16S ribosomal RNA
Rfam family: Bacterial small subunit ribosomal RNA
Source: RNAcentral
GAUGAACGCUGGCGGCGUGCCUAAUACAUGCAAGUCGAGCGAACAGACGAGGAGCUUGCUCCUUUGACGUUAGCGGCGGACGGGUGAGUAACACGUGGGUAACCUACCUAUAAGACUGGGAUAACUUCGGGAAACCGGAGCUACUACCGGAUAAUAUUUCGAACCGCAUGGUUCGAUAGUGAAAGAUGGCUUUGCUAUCACUUAUAGAUGGACCUGCGCCGUUUUAGCUAGUUGGUAAGGUAACGGCUUACCAAGGCAACGAUACGUAGCCGACCUGAGAGGGUGAUCGGCCACACUGGAACUGAGACACGGUCCAGACUCCUACGGGAGGCAGCAGUAGGGAAUCUUCCGCAAUGGGCGAAAGCCUGACGGAGCAACGCCGCGUGAGUGAUGAAGGUCUUCGGAUCGUAAAACUCUGUUAUUAGGGAAGAACAAACGUGUAAGUAACUGUGCACGUCUUGACGGUACCUAAUCAGAAAGCCACGGCUAACUACGUG